CAUAAUAAAUUUUAAAAAUGUGAUACAAAAUGAAUUUUUUAUGGUUUGUAAGAUUUAAGGUGCCUUUUCCCUUGUAAUAGAAGCUAUGUUUUUGCACAGAGGAGAAGUAUGGUAUUUUAUGAGAAGACAUGCUAUGAAUGAUGAAAGGCUCUAUUUCAGCAAGUCACAGGCAGAAAAGUCCAAAACAAUGGAAUAGAACUGCAGCAUUGUUGAAAUGCCUGCAUUGGCCCAAAAUUCAACUCUUAUUUCAGUUUUCUACCUCACUGCAAUACCUUCUGGAUAUCUUUACAAUGUCAACAUCCAAUUUCACAGUGAGUACCUUUUCAAUGGACUGUCUCUUAAUUGCUUCUAGAAUGUUUUCUAAGUGCCAAAGGAUCUUAUUUAUUUUGUGUGAAUUGCUUUUAGUCUCAGAGAGUGUGUCCUUUUUAUGUUCUUGAUCUUUCUGUUUUCUAAUUUUUAGGAUCCAGAGUUAAGAAUAUAAGAGUAUUUUACUCUUGGACCUUAAAUGGUCACUGUCUACUCUCUAGAUGAGGUAUAAUGCACAUCAUUCUUAAAGUUGGCAGUGUAUUUAUAUGCACAUUUUACAUAACCAUUGCAAUUAUCUUAUAAUCUAGACUAAAAAAUGAAAGUUCAUUGUAUAACCAUAGAAAACAUUUUGUUUUUUUUAGCAUGUGCACUAAAAACCAUAGACUUUUAAAUUCUCUUCUUUUCCUUUCUAAGUGCUCUCAUCUACAGUAAAAUCUGAUUUGGGAGAAUGGAAACUAUUAAAGUAAAACCAAUCAACAACUAAAAAUAUUUUGUAGAGGAAAGGUAGGAAUUCCUUAAUGGUUUCUGAUUAUAAGCACCUUUAGAAUAGUUCAUAAUGCUACAUAUAAAAUUAAAGAAUGAUAGUAGUUUUCCUAAAUGAGUCAAUAGAUAGAUAUUUUCUUUAGUUUGACAGAUGGAAUUUUCUUCCAGAAUUCAGAUUUAAAAGUACUUUUUUUCUUUGAGACAGGGUCUUGCUCUGUUGCCCAGGCUGGAGUGUAGUAGUAUGAUCUCAGCUCAUUCCAGCUGUGACUUCCUGAGCUCAAAUAAUCCUCUUGCCUCAGCCUCCCAAGUAGCUGGGACCACAAGUGUGCAAGAUCAUGCCCAACUAAUUUUAAUUUUUUUUUAGAGAUCAAGUCUCACCAUGUUGCCCAGGCUCAUCUCAAACUCCUGGGCUCAAGGGAUCCUUUCACCUUGGCCUCCCGAAGUGCUGGGAUUACACGUGUGAACUCCUGCACCCAGCCUAAAACUAAAACAUUUUCUUUAACACUCAACCUGAGUUCAAUCAACCAUUUUGAAACCCUAAAAGCAAACAACAACAACAAAACAAGUGCCAUCAAAGUCUUAUUUUCCUGACGUAGCUCUAAUAUUGUUAUAAACACAUACUAUACACACACCACACAUACCAUGGACACUUACACAUCUUCUUUCAGAUGCCCAUUUUUUUUUUUUUAAUUUGGUUUUACUGUAUAAUAAAAACACUCAGGACAUACAACCCCUCCCCACAAUAAAA
This 1537-nucleotide long non-coding RNA is filed under the name Macaca fascicularis (crab-eating macaque). RNAcentral describes it as "lncRNA (ENSMFAG00000047125.2)". The record is from RNAcentral. Lineage: Eukaryota; Metazoa; Chordata; Mammalia; Primates; Cercopithecidae.